Long non-coding RNA from Peromyscus leucopus (white-footed mouse), 15411 nucleotides. RefSeq lists it as uncharacterized. The transcript is spliced from 2 exons. The record is from RefSeq and is a predicted model, not a curated record. NCBI's taxonomy places the organism in Eukaryota, Metazoa, Chordata, Mammalia, Rodentia, Cricetidae.
CUUCCUGCCUGGCUACUGGCCAAUCAGUCUUUUAUUUAUUAACCAAAUCAGAGCAACUUAUUCACAGCAUACAGAGCCGUAUCCACAGCAUUGCCGUAGCCACUUCCCUUUGAUGCUCCACAGCUAAUUCUAAGUAGUAUUUGGAUGUUACUCAACUAACCAGCAAAAUUUUGAAGGAUCUUGCUGAUGUGAAGCUAAUUUAGACAUCAGAAGUUAGCUUUGAUUCCACGUUAGUCAUGGUUGGGCACAAGGGUUGAACACUCUCCUUUCUGUUGUCUAGCUGUGUCUCUUUGUUGUUGUUUUCUGGGACAAAUCUUCCCACAAAUACUCACGAGUAUGAGUUUUAAAAGAAUAUGUAUGAUGGUGGGGAUGGAGAAGAAUUGAAAAUUAUGUAAGAUCUAAAUCCAUUCUUGACUCUUAGUGACUUUAUAAUGGUCCAGGAAGAUAGUCUUUGGCAAGUGAUAUGUCUCUUCUUCUUCAUCCCUGAAUGUCAAUUAGCCAGUUCUCAUUGGUAAAUUCAUUACAUCUAAAUCUUAAUUAUACUGAAGUACAUAUUCAUAUGGAUGUCCUUUUCAUAUAGGAUUAUAUAUGGUUUUUCUUUGUUAUCUUUUAGGUCAUGUUUUAAGGCUUGAAAGGGGGUGUCAUUUUUAUACAAGUAGUUCAUUGGAGGGAUGUGUGUGGUUACAGAGAAAGAAGAGUAGAGCAGGAAUGUUAUGAAAAAGAAAACACGUGCAAAUAAAACCUUGGGAUGAUUCUUUGGGGAUCACUAUGCCAAAUAUGGCUUCCCUCUGUCUUUGGCCACACAGUGCACCAAGGCAGAGGUAGUAACUUCAUAGCCUUCUACCCUACCAUAACUCCAGGCAUCUCUAGCUAAGGCUAAUCCUGUCUGUCUAAUUCAGCUCCUCAGAGAAUUCAGGUUGUGAAAGUUUAGUAGGCAACAUUUAUCCCAACUAUCAGAUGAGAUACCAACUUUAAGGGUCUCUAGACUAAUUAAUAUCUGAACUUGGAGAGAUUUCUUUAUAUACAGUCCUCUCUAUUUGUAUUUUCUGGUGAGUUUUUGUCUUGUACCAUCUUUUCCAUCUCUGAUCUUCUACUUUGUCCCCUUAGAAUAGAUCCUGAGGUCCAUAGGGAGACAAGCUCUGUUCAGACUGCAGCAUCUAGGGUUUAUUUCCUGCUAAGUAGUGCUUUGGAGUCAGGUUAGCAUGCCUUCAGAUGCACAGAGAUGAGGUCAUCAGUAAUUUCUAGUCCUUUGCAAUUCCAUUUAUCCAUCUCUGACACAGAACACAUCAUGGUCUAUCUGUCUCCUCAAAUUGGGUCCAGCCCAGUACGUCUAGGUCCUUGAACACGCCCCUAUUAUCAGUUUGCAUAUUAGGUAUUUUGGGUGACCAUUUCCAGGCUUCCAUAUGUGAAGGGUAUAAUGGGAACUGUAAAAAUGGGAGCUGUAAAAAAAUUGACUUUCCCCUUGUAAUUCUCAAGAGGACUAGUCACAAGGCUCUUCUGCCUCUGUAAAUAAACUGAGUCUAGCCACAGCCUCAUUCUGUUCCUCUGCUUCCUUGUCUUUCAACAGUCAUCUCUUUCUCCCAUCCUUUCUCUCUAACUCCCGCAGCCUUCAUGUCUGCACACACAUAAAUAAGUCUGUAUGCACGCAUGUGAGGACAUAUAGCCAUUGCAGUACUAUGUGGGUGUGUGUACGUGCUGAGGAAGUGUAAUAGACUAUGGUUGUGUGUUUUUAGGUAUACAAUAAGUUUUCUGCAGACUGGGGCGGGGUGAGGCAUUUGUUGAUUCAAACCAUUUUUUCCCCUGAGUUAGUACCCAAUCUGUAGCUACAAACCGCUGACUACAGCAUAUUUCUGAAUGUAGAUUUCCCCCCCUGACAGCCAAGACCUAAGUCUCGCCUGAUCUAUGCAGUCACAUUGUUCAAAUCACAAAGUCUGGGUGACAGAACUGCUCUAUUUUCUGAGAGCCCCCAACACACCUGUCACCAGAUGGAAGCAAGACUCCAGAAGUCACCACUGUACCUAGAAACUCAGCAGAUGAUGGAAAUUAUUUCUUACUACUAAUUCCCCUUUUAGUGGAGAUAAGCCGCUUUGUUCAGCUGUAAAUGAAACAUUAGGGUAUUAACUGUGAAGCCAGAAGUAUUGGGGAAACGACGAUUUUAUCUUCGGUAGGAACAUUUUGGGCAAUAAAUUGUUUUGUUGGACAGAAUACUAAAUCUCUUGAGUUACAAAGAAGCAGAGCUCAUUAAGGGAAAUGCUUAAAGCAGGGAGGGGGGAAAGAGGCAAGACAAAAGCUUAUUGCCUUUGCUGUGGGCAUCAUAGGGGUGUACAGGUCCUUCUGUGUAUGUAGCAUGAAAGAAUUAUAUGGUAGGGUGAUUAAACAGGUAUGUCUGUAGAUCUGCAAAUACUCUGUGAAUAUGUCCAAGGGAUGAAUAUAUUUCUGAAAUAUCAAUAGUAGUCUAUAAUAAGUUAUGAAUUUUGGAGUACAUAUUUAUCUUCAAAGAUGAGGUUUUUGUUUCCUGUGGGUGAAAUUUUCCCAUCUCUUUGCCACAUCCUUCAGAUUAAUCAGCUGGCAUGGUUACAUAAAUGUUUGUAAUAGAGAAGAGUGGGUGCUGGGGUUAUCCAAAAUAUUGUCGCAGAAUACACACCUGAAUUAAGAUAAUUAUGUGCUAAAGCGUCUGUCAGCAGGGCUUAGCAGGGAGGGAGGGGCUUUCCCAUGAUGGAGAGAAGGCUUUUGUUAGGAAUGGUGGGUUUAUAUCCCAUGCAUGUUCUCAUUCUCGGCUUGCCAAUGUCUGUCGAUGUGGAACAGAGGGAGCGAUGGCUCACUGAUGAUGAAGGCAGAAGCCAGUCAGGGAGUGAUGAUGUCUUCUCUGAGAAGACUUUCCCUUGGAGGUGGCUUCUCUGUGUGCCUUCAAACCUGAAGCUGUAUCAGUGUGACCCUGUAAGUCUGUGUUUGUUGCUUCUGGCCCCUGGGAGGAGGACAUCCCCUAAACUGUCCUACCAAGAAACUUAGAGCAUUGUAAGAAGACACACAUAGGAGGCUGUAAGAGCUAUGUCAGAAUGGUGUGUUGUAUUUUUCUCCUUGAGUCAUUCGGUGCAUCAUUGUGUGGGAUCACACCCUGAAGGAUCUUCUCACUAUUUUCAAUUUCCCACCUAGGUGGAUAUUAGGUAGAUGCCCACCCGGGACAUGGUCACCUGAAGCUGCCAGUACUGUGCAGAGUUCAGAAGUUCUGAGCUCUUGCUAUACCCUCUCCAUGUAUGCAAGCCUCAUUGAGCCUUUGCUUGGUUCUUUCUGCAGGAAAGAGAACACAGCUCCCAGCCUACCAGGGAGGUUGAUGUAGAUAAAUGCAUGGUAGGAUGACCCAACACACAGCCUCCUGUGAGCCUGGGCAAGCAUGAGCUUCCUUAGGCCUGACUUGACCUCGAAAAACUAGGAAUAUGACCUGUCAAGGUUAUUUUUAGGGCCAGAGUAUAUAUAACUCAGUGGUAGAGUACUUGUCUAAUAUGCGUCUUCCGUUGUAAAACAAAAAUCCCUUUGAUUUAAAUAAGUUAAAAAUAAUAAUGACUUUAUAUUUAAAAAAUCAUUGAAAUAUGAGGUCUUAACUGCAAAUAUUAUCCUUGUUGAUAUUCUAUCCAAAGCAGUACCAGGAUGGGAUUCUUGGAGACUUCCAUAGGAUAGAAUUGAGUGGACUGUUUCUGAAUCUGUUGUGUAUUUAUGCUGUGAUUCAAAUGACAAGAUAUUUAGCUUGUCAUUCAUUGUACACAUGAGUUUGAAGGACCACUUAUCUAUGGAGUAGGACAUCAGGCUGUCAACACUAGUUUAUGGGAGCAUCAGACAUCCCGUGGCAUUCCUGCCUUUUAUCUGUCACUUAGACGGCUAGUUGAGUGUUGAGAUGAGUUGAAAUCUUUCUGUGAAAGUGACUGGAACUCACUUGUUACACAGACAUGGCAGAGCCUAUAGUCUCUAAAGUUGGUACCAAGGAGUAAGAAGGGUGAAUGAGCAGAAGGACAGAAUUAAACCCAAUACUUUCUAAUAUAGAGAAACACCAUUGUGGUAGUAGUUUCCAAAUGGAGUCUUAUUUACAUGAGUAUACUCUUUUGGUAUCCUGGAAUAAUUCUAACAUAUAUUUGUAACCCUAAUUUUUAACCCUUGCAGUAAAGUAAUAGAUCCAUAUAGUAAGGACAUUGGCAUCAUGUAUUCUGGAUUUAAAUCUUGUCUCUUGCAAACUACUCAAUCUUUAAUAUACCUGAUAGUCUAUUUGAGCCUCAUUGAUCUCAUCUAUGAAAUAACCACAUAAUACUACCCAUGUUUUCAAGCCUCACUAGGUUCUAUAAUUUCUGAGCUCAGUAAACCAAGCUUCCUUUUAUAAAGUACUGUAGCCUAGAAGCUCCUCAGAGUGACUAUUUGGAGAUUUAGCUUACCUAGAGACUUCUGUUCCUGGGGCUGUUUGUGAGCUCUUGAUGAGUCAGAUUCCAAUAGGGCUCUAUAUGGAGACAAUGUGCACCUCAGGUAGAACUGUUCAAAAUGUACCAGAGACUCAAGGGCUAAUGCCUCUGAUCUUUAUCAGAAAAUGUAGAGAUGAUGAUAAUGAAGGGUUUAAUUGAUAUGUAUAUUGUUCAUUGUUGAAUGCUCUAUAUAUGGGUUUAUCAUCAUCAUCAUCAUGGUCAACAUCAUCAUGGUCAUCAACAUUAUCAUUUAUUGUUACUGCCAUGUUAAGCUGGGAAUAAGAAUCAAUUGUUGAGUCUCUGGAGAAUCUGUAGAGAAGAUCCUCAGGCUAACAACUAUCCUGAGAGACUUUACCUUUGACCCCUACCUUCAUAUGCUUUCAGAGACCUCUGGAAGGGGACAACUUCAUUCUUUUAGGAGCCUUCCACAGAGUGAAAAUUAGGUUAGAAAUAUGCUCAUGUGGUGAGCUAUGGCCAGGACAGUCCUACAGUCAGUGACAUGUGCAAGUAUGAAGCCAAGUCUCACAUCUGUCCCCAAGAAGCUCCUGCUACAUUAGAUACCCCUGGGUAGAUAACCCCUGGAGACUGUUCAAAUGCAGUCCUCAAGCUAAAGUUAAAACUAAAGACACUGUUACUUCUUAGAGCUUCUGUCAAAACUACACUAUCACACAUAUGAUGGCCUUAGAUGAAAAAAUGGAUUCUGUCACAGAAUCUAAGACCCAAAGGCUAAAUUCAAAAUGUCCUCAUGGUGAAAUCCUUAUAGAUACUCAGAAUAUCUUCUAUGCUUUUCUUUCAACUUCUAGUGGCUUCUAGAAAUCUAGACACACAACCAUGUGUCCUUUCAGGAUCUGCCUCCACCUCUCUCUCUCUCUCGUGUGUGUGUGUGUGUGUGUGUGUGUGUGUGUGUGUGUGUGUGUGUGUAUGUGCAUGCAUGUGUGUGUCACAGAUACUAUGAAUAUACGUGCUUGUCCACAUGAGGUUUGGAGGACAAAGUCAAGUGUCAUUCUCAGGUAUCCCUACCCCCUCUCUUUUCAUAGAGUUUUGUUGAUAUUUUGGGGGGGAGUCAUGUCAUGCACCCAGAUCACACUCAUUUCCCUGUCCUUCCAUAUCCACCCCUCCCUUGUAACCAACACCUCCCAAAAGAUAAAAUUUAAAAAGUCCAAUCUGUGUUAUCCAUACACUCAUUGAAACAUGGUCAAACAGUGGCCUGCCCUUUCAGGAGAACUGAGUCGUUCCGCUCCAGCACCCCAUUAAAAGCCCUCCAGGUAGAGAGCCAACCCUCUCUCCCUAAAGGUUGGCUCCCUCACCCAUUUUUUAUGUGGGCUCUCUCCCAGGCCUGGAAUUCAGCAAGUAGGCUAGGCUCCCUAGUGUGUGCUCCAGGGUUACUCUUAUUUCUGCCUUCCCAAGAUGGGAUUGCAAGGGGAUCAGGCUGAAGUCUUCAUAUUUGUAAGCUUAACUCUUUAUCAACCAGGCCAUCUCUCGACCUUUCCCUUGACACUUUGCUCUAUCUUUUCCUUUUGCUUUUGUCAGGAUCUGUCAGUGGACUUAAGUCUCAGUCAAAUGCAGGACGAUGUCAUAGCAAGAUUGUUGCUUGAUUAUUUCUGUGAAGGUCCCCUUCCCAAAUAAGGUCACAUGGGAACUUGUGCUUAAGACAUUGAGAGACACUGUUAGGUACACUUCUAUUUCAUUGCCCAGCAUCUUUAGCUAGAGAACCAGUGAGUCUAACAUGGAUCAGUCCCCAAAAAUUACAUAAUGACAUUAGAAGUAGUCAUGUUUUCUGUGUACUUAUAUGCCACAAGAAUGAUACUAAAUCACUAUGACAUUCUUUCCUGAAAAUGUACCUAAACACUCCUGCUUUUUUUCUGAAUUGAUGAGAAACUGAGCAUCUAGAGAAGGUCACUUUCUUAGUACUGAACCAAGAAACAGGCAUCACUACUAUCUUAUAAAUUUAUAUUUCAAAUACUGGGGUUUAUUCUCUGAAUCUUUACAAAAGUUAUAUUUUUAUGUGUGUAUGUAUGUGCAAUGGUGGAUCUUGGUCCUGCCCUUGUACCCUGGUCCCCAGACUUAGCAUCAAGUGCUUUUACUCACUGACCCAUGAAGGCGACUCCAUGAUAUGCAUCUUGAUGUCUGAAGUUCUUACAUUUUUUCAUGCAUAGAAUUUUGCUGCGCUUGUUAAUACCCCACCUUUCCCUAUACUCCAUCUUUAGAGACUUCUGGUUCUGGGGAUGCAGGAGGAGGGCCAGGAUCUGCAUUUAAAAUAACUGCAUUAUGUAAUACUACCCCCUCUUUCCUCCCACUUAACCCAUCCUUCAGGUAACUGCCUAGUCGCUCACAGAUAGGUUCUCAUGAUGUCUGAAGAGAAAAAUCCUAAAAAGUGAAAAAAAUAUAUACACACACAGAAGAGCUCAAGUUGUUUGUUAACACUUUCAAUUUUUCAUGUUUUAGGUUAAUUGCUCUUAUUCCCUUUCUGAGAAGCCCCUCCACUUUUGGUCUUUGCUGCGAUCCUCCCUGCCCCCUGCAGUGGGAAAGGAGGGGAGGGUUGGUUUUGCUCCCAGACCUUGUUGCAGCAGAGUCUUCUCACUCGUUAACACUUUCAGCUUUUCCACAUGGAUGGCACCCACAGAGCCAGGGCUGGAAAAUCCUUCAGCGGAGCACAGCAGACUCGCCUCAGCCCCAUAAUAAUCCAGUCAAUUAAAAAUUGAUUUUCAUUCUGAACAACAUGGUGGUGAUGUCACAGGUCGUCAGUGUCCACACUGUCACUGGUCACCCCCCAUGAAGGGAUGCUAAAGGGUCUUCCCAUCAUAUGGGGAGCAUGUGUUGAGUGAUCUCAGUUGCUGAAGCAGCAAGACCAAAGUGUUUCUCCCCACAGUGGCAUUUUGUCCCCUUCCAUGCUGUUCAGUGAGCAGUGGUGUUGUACAUACAACCCUGGAAACAUGAACAGACAAGAAGUAUGCAAUUGCAUGUCAUUUGUGAUACAACUGUGCAUGAAAUGGGCUGGAUUUUCCAAAUUAACUGACUGCUACCUUUUACUGCUUAUCGUAAUAUAAUUGACCAUCAGGAGUCACUCACUUAAGAUGUCCAAUGUGAUUUUGGUACAGGUCUUCAAUUGUGGUAGGGUCAGUAUCACCUUGCACACUUAUUUUCCUGAUCUACGUGUUAGGGGAGAAUACCUAAGAUCUACUUUCCUGAAAGAUUUUAAGUUUAGAAUACCUGCAGUGUUCCUGGUAGAUUUGGGAGGUCUUAUCUGAAAUAAGUAUCAGAACGUUCUAAAGAUAGUGUAUGAAUAGGGGAAAUAAGCAAUGGUAUCAGAAAAAUCAAAGAGAGUUAAGCUGUCUGACAGUGGAUUUUAAAAUGUAUUUGUAUUGAUUUUUUGAGAAUUUCAUACGUGCAAAUGGUGUACUUUAACCACAUCUGCCUUCUGUUCCCCCUCCAACUAUCAGACCCUUCUUGCUCUAUCCCCCUCCUAAUCUCAUGUCCUCCUUUUUUGUAUAUAUGUAUGCAUAUAGCCACUGUGACAGUACUUUUAAAUUAAUGUAUUUAUGUUUCAUCACAAAAUAAUUGGCAUGAAUCCAAUUGCUUUCUGUGAAAUGAAUCACUCCGUGCAGAAGUGUACUAAGAGUUCGGGUUUCCAGUUUUGUAACAGGCUCCAGCUCAUUCUUCUGCAGCAGAAAAGCUUUGUAAGUCAUCAGGCAUGCUCCAGACUUCUCUCUGCUAAAUAUUCAAGCUUGGCUUAAAAUCUGGCAGGCCUUUUGGCAAGACUAUAGACAGGUGGAUAGGUUGAUAAAUAGAUAAUAAGACAUAUGUGUUUAUAGGCAGAUGGGAUUGCUGGGUUAAAAAAGAAGAAAAUAUUGAAGAUAGUUUGGAAGUCAGACUUUGAGUGGAGGACUAUCGAAGCUUUCCACUCUCCCUAUGAGGGCAGCAAUUGGGAAUUAUGCUAUUUUACUCUUUUGAACCUCAUUGUUACCAUUUAUAUAGUACAGAAAAAAAUUACUCUUAAUGCUCCAGAGCUGAGGAUACAGUGAGAUAUCGACAGAGUUAUAUGAGAAUGUUAUGGCCCAGCAGGCAUAUUGGUGCAUGGAGGGACCUGAUCUUGAUCCUCAGGGCUCUUCUGAAGAAGCCAGGUAUGGUAGCAUGUGCUUACAGUUUCAGUGUUGGAGAGGUCAAGGCUGGUGGGAUGCCUGUGGCCAGCUGGCCAGCCACUCUAGCCUACACAGUGAGUUCCAGGUCACUGAGACACCUGUCUCAAAAAAAAAAAAAAAAAAAUUAAAGGUGAUGGCUCCUGAAAAAUGAUGGCUGAGGUUCCCUUCUGCCUUCCUUGUGUGUAUGUGUGUGUGUGUGUGUGUGUGUGUGUGUGUACUUGCCACUUGCACACAUAUGAACAUCCAUACAUCCACAUACAAAAUAAAUUCCACAAGGAAACUUAAUUAUCCUGCAAAGGUGACUAAAGAAAUUUCCUUUUUAAAGUCAGGGCCUAUAUCUACAAGGCUAGGUCCCCAACAGAAGGGUAACUGGGUGAUUAAUAUAUCAAGCACAGUGGGUUUUCUUCCAUUUAAUGAAGUUCUUUUUGUUUUGUCUUAAUUGUGCAUCUGUAUCUUAAAGACACCAAGUAGCAAAUCCCACAGGGUCAGAUACUUCCCCCAAAAUAAAAGUUGAACCAAAGCAUAGAAUGGGGACUUUGCCCAAAUUGAAAAUUCUAUCUGCUUGCUCUCAGAACUCUAACUGAUAUGAACAAUGCCUUCAAAGUUUGUUUAAAAAUUUACCAAGCUUUCUCUCUGGACUUACCCACAAAGGUAAGUAAAGAAGUAACUGAUUUGUUCUUGGAUGUGGUUAAGUGUCCUGAAAAUGGUGGUUAAUAAUUUCCCUUUGAAGUGAGAAAUACUGUGUUCCUAAGCUCCAUUAUCCAUCUUUAAUAAUUUGCAAUGAAGUCAUUGUCUUUUGAUAUAAAUGAAUAUCAUCUAUAAAAAAUAAUCUUAAAUAAAAGUUUUAAAUUCAGCUGCACUUGGGAACAGCUCCCUAGGAUCAGAGGCACAGAGAGUCCUUGCUACUCUCAGAGGAUAAUAGUUAGGAACAGCAUACUUCAAAGUUUUUAAACAUUUAUCCUUGAAAGACAAUCCUUGGCUUCCCAAGCCUACUACAUAGUUAGAUACGAAAGCAUGAGACUCUCCUCUGCUAAUCGCCAGUGUUCAGAAUGAGCCUAAUUGGAUAACCACUGGCACACAGUAUGGCAAAUAAAUUGUGGCCUAUGACUCUGGAGGACUUUGAAUGUCAGCAUUAACCACAGGGACAGCUCAAGUAUAGGAAAAGUGUUUGAUUUGAUGCUAGAGGAAGGACAACAGGAAAGCAGAGGGAUCUGGAGACAGUUUCUGAAACCCUGCAGAACAUUUGCAAGAGUGGUCUUGAAAUAAACAUUGAGCCUGGAACUAUGCAUUGAUGAUAUAAUUCUGUCACAAAUUGGGCCUGAUUUCUCUUUAAUUAACUGAGUGCUUUCCCCCUGGCUUCAUUGCAGAAUAAUUGAGAAAUGGGUAUUACAUGUAUUUAAGAAGUACAACUUACUUUGGGUGUUGGUAUUCAUAGUGAAACAAUUCAAAUCUCUUUACAUACUUGAUAUCUUUAGUUUGAUUAUGCUGUCUCAAGUCUGUUCAUGUGUGUGUGUGUGUGUGUGUGUGUGUGUGUGUGUGUGUGUGUGUGUGUGUGUGUGUGUGUAUCUGAUGCAGAAAACACCAUCUGGAAAGGAAGAAUGCUGUUGUUCACUAUGGCAGGCAGGUGCGGUUAUUGUAAAUCAUAUCCCUUUGGUACCCAGAAUUGUGUUUGGGAAGGACUCAUACCAUGUUUCACUCAUUUGCUUUUCGAUGUAAUGCAAAUACAGAGUCCAACCAAAACCAGAGGAGAGUGUGUGCAUAUGAGCAACUAGAGUAUGAUAGCACAACCAUCCAUUCUCUUCACUGCUAAGCCUCAGGGCAGCACAGUGCUUAUUCACGGGUUCAGUGACAACCUGGCAACUUCACUGAUUUGAAGCACCUGGCACACCCUGACAGAUCCUGUCUCCUCAAUGAAGUCUAGUGCGCUGACGGUCUUUCUCCUUGAGCAGAGCUGGACAGACUUAGCCCUCAAGCCACAUCUGGCAAACAGACUUUGUUCCUGAACAGACUCUUAUGGGAACACAGUUGUGUAUGUUUCCGUAUAGAUAAUUUUGUGCUAUAGUGGCAGGAUUAAGUAGUGGCAAAAUAGCUGAUACCUGUGGUGCCUGGGGUACCUACUCUUUACCUCUUUACAGAAAAUAGAGUUGGGGAGGCCUUGUUCCAGACAGCUGUGUGCUAGUGAUCUCUCAAGCUAAUAUAAAAUUUGAACUUGUGGACUGCUCCAAUAUCAGAAACCCCCCCCCCCCCAUCCUUUGUUACAUUGUCAGUAGUGAGCUAUUCCUUUUAAGAACCUUUUCACAAAUAAUAUGUGAAUCAACAGAUUCAGGCAUAAGUUGUUUAGGAUUUUCCCCCCAAAUAUAUUUACUGAGAUAAAUUAUGCUCAGCUGUGGUGAUUUAUAGAUGACAGUAAAAGCAGAGAUUUUAAUAUUGUAACUAUAUUCAUUUCAAAAUUUAAAAAGUUAAGAUUUUCUCCUGGGAACAUAGUAAACCAUUUAAAACUGUCAUUGUGUCUAGAUGAACAGGAGUAAACACUGCAUCUCUACAUAGGAGCUCAUGGGUGAGCCUGAUCUGCUGUGGAAAAGUCAUGGUUCUCACCUCCCUCACCUCCUGCGGUGGCCAUGGAGAUAGCUGUGCUUCCUAGCUGACCUAUUGAUCUUUUAAGGUAACCAGGCUGCAUCUGGAUAGGCAGUCAGAGUUGUAGCCUGCUAGAGUAGUCUGUGUGUCGUUGGCCAUUGUACUUGAGUUGGAUCACUAUGUGGUGUCAACAGCCGCCCUGCGUACUCUGGCAGGGACAACGACAUCUCUGGUCUUAGCCACUCUGUGGCUACAUGAGUUACUUCUCACUGCUGUGACAGAACAUUUGGCAAAAGGAACCCAAGGAAGGGAAGGUUUAUUUUGGCACACAGUUUGAGGGGUUAUAGUCCAUGGUGUUGGGGAAACCAUGGCAACAGGAGUGUGAGGCAGUUGUUCCCAUGGCAUUUAUCUUCAGGAAACAGAGAGGUGAAUUCUUGUCUUCAGCUCACUUUCUCCUUUUUAUUCAGCCCGGGACUCCAGACUAUGAGACAGCACUGGGCACAUCUAGGAUGAUCACCCCUUCCUUGCAGGGUCCUCAUUGUGUGUUUGCUUGGGGGAAUGCUGCUUCUUUUCCUUUGUUGCCCUGAGCUCACCCCACCUCUGCAUCUCCUUAAGCCUUACUUCACUUCACUCUAUGUUUAAAUGUGCUGCCAGCACCAGAUUGCCCCGAACUCCUCAGCCUCGCCUGAUAAGGCUGAGCUGCUGUUGUUGUCGCUCUAAGUCGAUCAGCAGAGCAGGCCUGUGAGCAGGUUCUGGGGGGCUGCAGGACCUCUCAGUGUCUGGCUGCUGUGAUCAGAGGGUCUGAAGAAUGAGAGCGCCUCUGAUGCGUUCUUAUCAGGCUGAGCCUAAUGUCAACCCUGUUAGAGAGCCUGCGUCCGAUCUGCCUGUAGCUUUGUUCUGAACCGUUCAGUAACAGCUCAGUGGAGCAGAAAGAGCCCUGCGAAUUGAUAUUAUAAACCCACAUGCCUGUUUUAUUCAUUGCAGAGCGAACAGAAUAUAACACAAGUAUUUAUUUCUAGUGGUUAGAGAAUGACAUUUCUUUCCCCUUUCCCCAUUGUUACGGAAUGCAGAAAACAACACAGGGUUCUGUGAACACAAUUGCGUUGAAAAGUUAUUGCCAACUGUUCCCUGUUUCCAUUAUCUUCCACUCUCCUAAGCAGUAGAUGCGUGUGUUGAAUAUGUAUGUGUGCAUAAUAUAUAUUACAUUCGUUUGGAUGGUCUUAAUAAAGAGUCACGGGCCAUGGGAUGUAAUCCAAUUGCUGCCAGGUGGGGCUUCAAUCUCUGGCUGUUCCCUUGACCCUUCUACCCCUCCCCAUUUUCAUUGAAAGUUAGGUUUUCUAGAAAAAUUCAUGAGCCUUCGUCAUGUUUCAUUCAUCCUUUGCUCCUGGGCAUUCCUCACUGAAGGUCAGGAGCUAUGAAAUUUCUCUUUUAGUGCCUUUGCUUUGAUAUGGCACAGGCUGGGCAAUAGAGAAAAUGAAGUGUGGAGAAAAUGAAGUUACGGCAAUGUCUUAAAUGGGAUGAGGGGCUGCUCAAGAUGGCUUAUAAAUGAGGGGAGUGCUGCCUGUUGUCUGAGCUGGUAUAUCUCUCACAAAGAGAUCAAGGGAAGGGCUGGACACAUGAGUAGCUUCAAGUCAUACUUACAGCUACAUUGCUGGUGCUAACUUCCAUGAUGAUGGUGGUGGGGUGGGGGUGGGGUGGUAAUAGUAGAUUAUGCCAUAUGAAAGUGUUGGCAUUUGACAAUUGUUAACAUAUAUUUUGAUCACCUUCACAUGACUUCUGUCAAUAACUGUUCGAGUGAUAACUGUGGCCCUGCUCUAAACAUUCAACAAACAUUUCUUAGUUCAUUGAACCAAAUGUAUCUUCAUCUGUUAUUAACUCCAUAAUUAUAAUGUAGACCCUGAGUUGUACAAGUGACUUAUGGAAUACCCAAGCUUCCUAAGAAGCAAAACUUAGACUAAAGUCAGAGAGGAAGACUACAGUCUAUGCCCUCCACAAGAGAGUUAGUACCCUUUUCUCAACUUCUCACACGCUGCUAAGUCCCAAGGUCAUAGACACAUUCCUUUGGCCAUGUAUACAGAACAUGCCCACACUUAUACAUUCUAAAAUUAGCUUACAAAGAGAAACAUUGGGAUGGCAAGGAGGCUCAGUGGGUAGGCCUGACUACAUGAGUUAAAUCCUCAGGUGCCAGGUAGUAGCAGAAGAAAAGAACAAAUUCCCACAAGUUGUCCUCUGACCUCUACAUAUGUAUCACAACACACAUGUCCCCCAAAUAAAUAAAUGCAAUAACCUUCUAUAAAGGAGAAAAUUAUAAGCAUGCAUAAGCAAGUCACUAGAUUCUAGAUGUCCUUCUAAUUAAUAGUUUUCAUUCAUGGUCUGUUAGAGGCUCCUCACAGCUUUGCAGAGUUUCAUAGUAAACAACAACAUGCUUGUGGGGCUUGCCUUAACCCCACUUUCCUCAAACUGAUUUUCUAUUAGACAAAUGGUUAUAGAAAAAAGCACAUGCCCUGGUCUCUCCUGAGCCCUGGUACUUUCCUAACACUAAUGUUUCCCAAAAUGUACUACUGGACAAACUCUGUUCUGUCCAUGCCUGCAGCUGUUCAUUAUUGCCUUGCUCUGAAUCACCUCUUGAAACAUUUGUGUCCCCAAGAAAUCCCUCCAUUGCUGUAGCCUACCCUCUUUCCAUCCAUCCUUAUUAUCAAUGGGUUCCACACUUUCUCUCCCUGUUAAAACCCAAAUGGCUGACCCCAUGCUCAUAGCUCCUGAUUCAGCGGGUCUCGCAUGAGGUCUCCAAAAUGUGUAUUUCUUAAAGGAGUCCAAGUGAUGCCAAUUUAUUUGCUCUGUUCCUGUGUAGGGAUAGACAGGUCUAUUAUUGAGUGGCUAAAUUGCCUUUAGGCACAUCAUCUAGAGUCCAUGGCCUCAUGGUGAAGAGGCUCAGACUCACCUCUUCAGUUCAUGUGCAGAGUAACUGGAUCUUCCUUUGCUAGUGUACACAGAGCCUGGAUUGUCAGCACAGUAAUAGUAAUCCCAAUUAGCACCUCCAGAAAGGUGUUUCACUGUGGAGCCUGAGGGAGUCCUAGUCCCAGAUGCUGCCUCCAUGGGUUUUCACUCAUCAAGUCUAGGGGUAGGACAUGAGUAUGCAUAAUUGGUAAGGAAUCUAGAUUAAUCCAAAUCAAAUAAUAGACAGUCCAUCGUUACUUAUUUAUUUAAUAAGUGUUUGUCCUAGGUAUUUAUGAGCCAGGUAGUGCUUCAGGAUAUGGUGGACAAAGUCCCCAUCCCCAUGGAGAUAGUGACAUGUAGAACAUAGCACACAUAAGUACAUGUAUGGUGAAUGUUUGGGUCAUUACAGGGGAUUCAUUGAAGAAGCAAUAAUGAGGCAAGAAGAUGGACAUUGUUUUUUUCAGGGGUCUUGGAAAGAAGACACUAGAGGAAAUAAAGGUAGAACAAAGUAAACAAAUCUUCAAUUUCAACUUAACACAAAUCUAUGCUGCUGUUUAUAAUGUUUUCUCAAUGGAAAACCUUGAUUUAUCAGCCAGUACAGUAGAUUGUGUUGAGGGUCUACAUUGUCCCAAGCAUAAUUCUCUAUAGCUGUCAAAUAUUAAUUCUAAUCCUCAUAACCAUGUACUAUCCUCAUAAUAUAAAUAAUAUCCUGAAGAGAUUAAAUAGUAGACAGGCAGUGUUGCCUUUUCCUACUGUAUCCUACAAACUCUGGUGUGUGAAGACUUGGACUUCCUUUGUGUUUGAAGUCUUCAGGUGGCACUCAUCCUCUUGUCAUGAUCUUCUUGAAUACCUAGUUCUUUUGUUACCAGGUUCCGAGUUUGUACUAUUGCUGUGCCCAUUGAUUACAGAUUGAGUUAUACCUUCAACUCCACUGAGAGUGAGGACUGGGUAUCUGGGAGUUUAAGUUUUUAGAUGACUCUAAUAUUCUGUCAGUGUUGGGUACCACCAACUAUCCAUGGUCCAAGAUUAAUAGAUGUCUGGUUGUUUGACAAUUGGAGUCUGGUUGAGAAUACAUAUGCUGGGAGUCACUGUGAACAGUGCACUUGGAGUGCAUUAUCAUUUGAGUGAUGAAGCUCUCAGAAACAAGAGGUAGAAAACUUAUAGAAUGGGCAGACAGAAAUGAUGCCUUGGGAUCAGCACAGGCCAUGGUGUCCACACUGAAUAUGAAUCCAGCUCUGCUGUUUGUAAUUGUGUGAUUUGAGCUAACAUCCUGGAGUAUUUAUGAGAGCUAACACUGUUAAGAAUAAAGUCUCUUCUCU